This 300-nucleotide ribosomal RNA is filed under the name uncultured bacterium. RNAcentral's name for it is "bacterial SSU rRNA". It matches the Rfam family "Bacterial small subunit ribosomal RNA", at positions 1083 to 1382 of the family's 1533-position model. The record is from RNAcentral.
AGUCCUAUAACGAGCGCAACCCCUAUCGUUAGUUGCCAACAGGUAAUGCUGGGAACUCUAGCGAGACUGCCGGUGCAAACCGCGAGGAAGGUGGGGAUGACGUCAAAUCAUCACGGCCCUUACGUCCUGGGCUACACACGUGCUACAAUGGCCGGUACAGAGAGCAGCCACUCCGCGAGGAGGAGCGAAUCUAUAAAACCGGUCUCAGUUCGGAUCGCAGUCUGCAACUCGACUGCGUGAAGCUGGAAUCGCUAGUAAUCGGAUAUCAGCCAUGAUCCGGUGAAUACGUUCCCGGGCCUU